Molecule: ribosomal RNA, 254 nt
Filed under: uncultured bacterium
Lineage: Bacteria
Description: partial 16S ribosomal RNA
Rfam family: Bacterial small subunit ribosomal RNA
Source: RNAcentral
UACGUAGGGUGCAAGCGUUAAUCGGAAUUACUGGGCGUAAAGCGUGCGCAGGCGGCUAUGCAAGACAGAUGUGAAAUCCCCGGGCUCAACCUGGGAACUGCAUUUGUGACUGCAUGGCUAGAGUACGGUAGAGGGGGGAUGGAAUUCCGCGUGUAGCAGUGAAAUGCGUAGAUAUGCGGAGGAACACCGAUGGCGAAGGCAAUCCCCUGGACCUGUACUGACGCUCAGGCACGAAAGCGUGGGGAGCAAACAGG